UACGUAGGGAGCAAGCGUUAUCCGAAUUUAUUGGGUGUAAAGGGUGUGUAGGCGGUUUAUUAAGUCCAUGGUUUAAGUCCGAAGCUUAACUUCGGUUCGCCGUGGAAACUGAUAAUCUUGAGUAUGGUAGAGGCAAGUGGAAUUUCUAGUGUAGCGGUAAAAUGCGUAGAUAUUAGAAGGAACACCGGUGGCGAAGGCGACUUGCUGGGCCAUUACUGACGCUGAGACACGAAAGCGUGGGGAGCAAAUAGG
RNAcentral lists this ribosomal RNA (252 nucleotides) under uncultured bacterium. RNAcentral describes it as "partial 16S ribosomal RNA". It matches the Rfam family "Bacterial small subunit ribosomal RNA", at positions 524 to 776 of the family's 1533-position model. The record is from RNAcentral.